This 496-nucleotide ribosomal RNA is filed under the name uncultured bacterium. RNAcentral's name for it is "partial 16S ribosomal RNA". It matches the Rfam family "Bacterial small subunit ribosomal RNA", at positions 28 to 506 of the family's 1533-position model. The record is from RNAcentral.
GAUGAACGCUCGCGGCGUGCCUAAUACAUGCAAGUCGAGCGAACAGACGAGGAGCUUGCUCCUCUGACGUUAGCGGCGGACGGGUGAGUAACACGUGGAUAACCUACCUAUAAGACUGGGAUAACUUCGGGAAACCGGAGCUAAUACCGGAUAAUAUAUUGAACCGCAUGGUUCAAUAGUGAAAGACGGUUUUGCUGUCACUUAUAGAUGGAUCCGCGCCGCAUUAGCUAGUUGGUAAGGUAACGGCUUACCAAGGCAACGAUGCGUAGCCGACCUGAGAGGGUGAUCGGCCACACUGGAACUGAGACACGGUCCAGACUCCUACGGGAGGCAGCAGUAGGGAAUCUUCCGCAAUGGGCGAAAGCCUGACGGAGCAACGCCGCGUGAGUGAUGAAGGUCUUCGGAUCGUAAAACUCUGUUAUUAGGGAAGAACAAAUGUGUAAGUAACUAUGCACGUCUUGACGGUACCUAAUCAGAAAGCCACGGCUAACUACGU